UACAGAGGUGCCAAGCGUUGUUCGGAUUUAUUGGGCGUAAAGGGUGCGUAGGCGGUUGUGUAAGUCGGGUGUGAAAUUCCGGAGCCUAACUCCGGAACUGCAUUCGAAACUACACAGCUCGAGGUCUGGAGAGGUGACUGGAAUUCUUGGUGUAGCAGUGAAAUGCGUAGAUAUCAAGAGGAACACCAGAGGCGAAAGCGAGUCACUGGACAGAACCUGACGCUGAGGCACGAAAGCUAGGGUAGCAAACGGG
Molecule: ribosomal RNA, 253 nt
Filed under: uncultured bacterium
Lineage: Bacteria
Description: partial 16S ribosomal RNA
Rfam family: Bacterial small subunit ribosomal RNA
Source: RNAcentral